Molecule: long non-coding RNA, 1325 nt
Filed under: Felis catus (domestic cat)
Lineage: Eukaryota; Metazoa; Chordata; Mammalia; Carnivora; Felidae
Description: lncRNA (ENSFCAG00000043935.2)
Source: RNAcentral
GUUGGGAGUGAGGGCAGAGUUUGAAAGAGACCCACAGCGCCCCCACAAUCCUGGGCCUGGGACCAUGCCCACAGCAGGGGUGCUGCAUAGUUCCUGUGGUUCUACUUCCUGGACUCCCUCCCUUUCACCUCCCGCAGAGAUCUGCUACCUGGGCCUGCAGUUACCUGCUUCAGGCGAAUUCUUUCUAGGGAACGUUCAUGACUUGUGCUCUGAAUUAGCUUUACUAUUCAGAAGACCUUGGUUUGAAUCCAUGCUCUACCAUUUGCUGUCUUGGGAAAAUUGCUUAAUUUGGACACAAAAUGCUCCUCCCACCCUUGAUGUCUGAAAUUUCUGAGCAGAGUUUGAGAAGACCCACCCUCUUCCUGGCCUUCGCACCUCACAGGUCACUUUGGCAACUUUACCCGUGCCAAUUGCUUGCUUUCUGUCAAUCUAAUCACCUGAGGUGUGAAAGUGACUGACUCCAGCCUCCUCUAUCAAUCAUCCUCCUUUGGAGGAAGCUAACUUCAGAAUCCAUCAAGGUUCAUGAAUAAUUUAGCAUCCAAGAGAAAUUCUAAGAGUUGGACCUUCCCAAGGGUUUUAGAACUCCACUGCUAAUAGUUUGAUUUUUGGAGAAAAUGUCAAUAGAGGACCUAUGUAUGUUUUAGAAGUUGAGUACUAAAGGUUUAACAAAGCUAUAAUAUGGGUUAUGAGCAUCACACCCUGAAGAGAAUUUCCAUCAAAUCUGGGAGCAGGAGUCAGAUGUGAAAUGGACAUGAACAAAAGGGCAUAUUUGUUAAGUGUCCACAGUGUAAGCUUCACUGGAUCAAGGAAUUGAUAUAGAACUUUUCUGUUAACCUUCUAACAAUUUUACAAAGUGGCCAUUUCUUGUUUAUCCCUGUUUUAUAGAUGAGGAAAAUGACAUUGUUUGGGCUUCACUUAACAUAUAGAGGUGAUAUAGCAUGAUGCAUAGUAGGAGGCUAUAGAGCCUACUGAGCCUGGGUUCACAUCAUAGCUCCACUGCCUUCUAGCUAUGUGACACUGAAUGAAUUAUUGAACCUCUCUGAUUCUCAGUCGUGUCAUCUACAACAUGGAGAAAGCAAUGCUUACCUCAUAAAUUUGCUUGAAGAUUAAAAUGACAUAACAAACCUAAAAUCCUUAGCAGUGUUUUUAGCACAUGGUAAGCACUCAAGAAGUGCUGUCUAUUUUUAUUUUUACUAUUAUGGAUGUUAUUGCCACAAAUUGUGGGCUAUAUACAUGCUUUCAUGAAAUCUAAAUCCUUCUGGAUUCAAAAUGGGAAGAAAUAGAAUCAUAACCAUAUCUAAACGAAAGCUGCUCACAUUCUUUCC